This 391-nucleotide unclassified non-coding RNA is filed under the name soil metagenome. RNAcentral describes it as "partial contains 5.8S ribosomal RNA, internal transcribed spacer 2, and large subunit ribosomal RNA". The stretch from base 1 to 122 matches the Rfam family "5.8S ribosomal RNA", at positions 35 to 154 of the family's 154-position model. The record is from RNAcentral.
GAUGAAGAACGUAGCGAAAUGCGAUACUUGGUGUGAAUUGCAGAAUCCCGUGAACUAUCGAGUCUUUGAACGCAAGUUGCGCCCGAAGCCAUUAGGCCGAGGGCACGCCUGCCUGGGCGUCACACGUCGUUGCCCCCCCAUCUACUCCUUCGGGAUUGCGGGGGGCGGAUGAUGGCCUCCCGUGCGCCUCGUCGCGCGGUUGGCAUAAAUGCCAAGUCCUCGGCGACGCACGCCACGACAAUCGGUGGUUGCGAAACCUCGGUUGCCCGUCGUGUGCGGUCGUCGCGCAUCGAGGGCUCGAAAAAAUUGCCGGGCUCCGGCUCGGCUUUCAACGCGACCCCAGGUCAGGCGGGGUUACCCGCUGAAUUUAAGCAUAUCAAUAAGCGGAGGA